UUGAAGAGUUUGAUCAUGGCUCAGAUUGAACGCUGGCGGCAGGCCUAACACAUGCAAGUCGAGCGGUAGCACAGAGAGCUUGCUCUCGGGUGACGAGCGGCGGACGGGUGAGUAAUGUCUGGGAAACUGCCUGAUGGAGGGGGAUAACUACUGGAAACGGUAGCUAAUACCGCAUAACGUCGCAAGACCAAAGUGGGGGACCUUCGGGCCUCAUGCCAUCAGAUGUGCCCAGAUGGGAUUAGCUAGUAGGUGGGGUAACGGCUCACCUAGGCGACGAUCCCUAGCUGGUCUGAGAGGAUGACCAGCCACACUGGAACUGAGACACGGUCCAGACUCCUACGGGAGGCAGCAGUGGGGAAUAUUGCACAAUGGGCGCAAGCCUGAUGCAGCCAUGCCGCGUGUGUGAAGAAGGCCUUCGGGUUGUAAAGCACUUUCAGCGGGGAGGAAGGCGAUAAGGUUAAUAACCUCAUCGAUUGACGUUACCCGCAGAAGAAGCACCGGCUAACUCCGUGCCAGCAGCCGCGGUAAUACGGAGGGUGCAAGCGUUAAUCGGAAUUACUGGGCGUAAAGCGCACGCAGGCGGUCUGUCAAGUCGGAUGUGAAAUCCCCGGGCUCAACCUGGGAACUGCAUUCGAAACUGGCAGGCUAGAGUCUUGUAGAGGGGGGUAGAAUUCCAGGUGUAGCGGUGAAAUGCGUAGAGAUCUGGAGGAAUACCGGUGGCGAAGGCGGCCCCCUGGACAAAGACUGACGCUCAGGUGCGAAAGCGUGGGGAGCAAACAGGAUUAGAUACCCUGGUAGUCCACGCCGUAAACGAUGUCGAUUUGGAGGUUGUGCCCUUGAGGCGUGGCUUCCGGAGCUAACGCGUUAAAUCGACCGCCUGGGGAGUACGGCCGCAAGGUUAAAACUCAAAUGAAUUGACGGGGGGCCCGCACAAGCGGUGGAGCAUGUGGUUUAAUUCGAUGCAACGCGAAGAACCUUACCUGGUCUUGACAUCCACAGAACUUUCCAGAGAUGGAUUGGUGCCUUCGGGAACUGUGAGACAGGUGCUGCAUGGCUGUCGUCAGCUCGUGUUGUGAAAUGUUGGGUUAAGUCCCGCAACGAGCGCAACCCUUAUCCUUUGUUGCCAGCGGUUAGGCCGGGAACUCAAAGGAGACUGCCAGUGAUAAACUGGAGGAAGGUGGGGAUGACGUCAAGUCAUCAUGGCCCUUACGACCAGGGCUACACACGUGCUACAAUGGCAUAUACAAAGAGAAGCGACCUCGCGAGAGCAAGCGGACCUCAUAAAGUAUGUCGUAGUCCGGAUUGGAGUCUGCAACUCGACUCCAUGAAGUCGGAAUCGCUAGUAAUCGUAGAUCAGAAUGCUACGGUGAAUACGUUCCCGGGCCUUGUACACACCGCCCGUCACACCAUGGGAGUGGGUUGCAAAAGAAGUAGGUAGCUUAACCUUCGGGAGGGCGCUUACCACUUUGUGAUUCAUGACUGGGGUGAAGUCGUAACAAGGUAACCGUAGGGGAACCUGCGGUUGGAUCACCUCCUU
This 1537-nucleotide ribosomal RNA is filed under the name Klebsiella pneumoniae. RNAcentral describes it as "bacterial SSU rRNA". It matches the Rfam family "Bacterial small subunit ribosomal RNA". Lineage: Bacteria; Pseudomonadati; Pseudomonadota; Gammaproteobacteria; Enterobacterales; Enterobacteriaceae. The record is from RNAcentral.